UACAGGGGGUGCAAACGUUGCUCGGAAUCAUUGGGCGUAAAGCGCACGUAGGCGGUCUGUUAUGUCGGAUGUGAAAGCCCUAGGCUUAACUGAGGAAGUGCAUCCGAAACUGGCAGGCUAGAGUACUAAAGAGGGUCGCGGAAUUCCCGGUGUAGAGGUGAAAUUCGUAGAUAUCGGGAGGAACACCGGUGGCGAAGGCGGCGACCUGGGUAGAUACUGACGCUGAGGUGCGAAAGCGUGGGGAGCAAACAGG
RNAcentral lists this ribosomal RNA (253 nucleotides) under uncultured bacterium. Its description in RNAcentral is "partial 16S ribosomal RNA". It matches the Rfam family "Bacterial small subunit ribosomal RNA", at positions 524 to 776 of the family's 1533-position model. The record is from RNAcentral.